RNAcentral lists this ribosomal RNA (374 nucleotides) under uncultured bacterium. Its description in RNAcentral is "bacterial SSU rRNA". It matches the Rfam family "Bacterial small subunit ribosomal RNA", at positions 523 to 898 of the family's 1533-position model. The record is from RNAcentral.
AUACGUAGGGGGCAAGCGUUAUCCGGAAUCACUGGGCGUAAAGCGUGCGUAGGCGGCCAAUAAAGUCUAGGGUGAAAGGCUACGGCUUAACCGUAGUAAGCCUUAGAAACUUAUUGGCUUGAGUGCAGGAGAGGAGAGUGGAAUUCCUAGUGUAGCGGUGAAAUGCGUAGAUAUUAGGAGGAACACCAGUGGCGAAGGCGACUCUCUGGACUGUAACUGACGCUGAGGCACGAAAGCGUGGGGAGCGAACAGGAUUAGAUACCCUGGUAGUCCACGCCGUAAACGAUGAGUGCUAGGUGUUGGAGGCGACAGCCUUCAGUGCCGGAGCUAACGCAUUAAGCACUCCGCCUGGGGAGUACGGUCGCAAGACUGAA